RNAcentral lists this non-coding RNA (30 nucleotides) under Mus musculus (house mouse). The record is from RNAcentral. Lineage: Eukaryota; Metazoa; Chordata; Mammalia; Rodentia; Muridae.
ACCACGGUUAAUAUGAUGAGCUGAGCCUGC